Molecule: non-coding RNA, 123 nt
Organism: Trichophaea hybrida
Lineage: Eukaryota; Fungi; Ascomycota; Pezizomycetes; Pezizales; Pyronemataceae
Source: the annotation of a GenBank genome assembly
GCCUCGGUAGCUUAAUUGGUAAAGCGUCGUCUGGUCCCAUGAAGCCCCAAAAUUACCGACUUUAGGUAAAUCGUUGGGUGGGUUGGGUUCAGCGGAGAUGUGGUUCGAAUCCUCAACGGGGCA